This 2221-nucleotide long non-coding RNA is filed under the name Homo sapiens (human). Its description in RNAcentral is "HSALNT0205628". The record is from RNAcentral. Lineage: Eukaryota; Metazoa; Chordata; Mammalia; Primates; Hominidae.
CAAUAAACGCGAGUCUCACUAGCUGGUCAGGGCCACAGUCACAGCUGUUUACAGGACUCUGCUGGAGUCUGUAAGUGGCUUGGACACUCAGCUGGACUGGCAAAGCAGAAUAUCUGUGUGUCAGUGUACUUCAUUCAUCCGUCGCUGGGUCAGGGUCUGGGGGUCAGACCCCUGCAGCUGGUGCCCCUGUGUGAGGAACGCUACCACACAUCCUGGCCUGGGCUGGGGAGUCCAUCCAAUGGAAUAUAUUUAAGGUAUGAAAAGGGCCUCGUUCAGUUCCUGGAGCAAGGGAGCCACCCGAUAAUGCCUUCCCUUGCACCCCAGAUGAAGCCAAGCACAGUGAGAGAAGCAUCUCCAGAUCUCUAUCUGGUGGAGCUGCUGGACUUCCCUCGGGGCAGGAACAUGAAAUCUGAGGGAAGAUACUUUUGGAACCUUGAAUCUGAAAGGAACUCAAUGUUUUGCAUCCUUGGGAUUGCCAGAGAUUGGCAGAGGAGAGUCAAACAAGGACACAGAGAUGGAGCAGCCUUGAUGUAAGUGGGAAAAGAACACACUGAAUGUGCUGACCGAAAAGCCAAGAGAAGAAGCAUUCAUGGAGGAUGGAGGGAGUGGACAACUGCGUCAAAUGCUGCUAAAAGACCAAAUGACAUAAGAACAAGGAAGAGAACCUACGGAUUUCUAGGGAGCCAUGAGAUGAAAACAUGAUUGGAUUGGGUUGAGAAUUAAAGGAUGGCUGAGAAAUUGGGGACAAUGGCACUUUUUAUGUCUUACUAGGACAGGAUAAAUACAAAUAGGGCAGUAACUAGAGGGCCACCAAAGGUGUUUUUCUUUUUCUUUUUUUGAGAUAACAGACGAUGAAACAUGUCUAUAUACUAAUGUGAAUGAUGCACAAAAGAGGGAGAAAUUGAUGGAGCAGAGAGAAGGGAAGUGAUGGUGGGAGUAAAGUUCUUGAGAAGGGGGAGCUAGUGGUGAGAUAUCUGGCAUUCGUAGGAUCUCGGGGACUUUAUUCACUAUAACAAGAUAACCAGUAAGGAGGGUGGAGACAGAUGCAGAUACGUGGGUGGAUUUGGUGAUGGGAGAAGUAGAUUUGUAUUUAUUGGUUUCCAUCCUGAACAAAGAUAAAGAAUUUCCCAGAAAUGGAAAAGUCUUAUAUAUUUUUUACCUUGCCCCAGAUUUCAAAGUUUUGACCUUGGGAUACAAGCACAGAAUUCUGCGAAAGGAGAGUGGAAUUUGUCUCUGAUCGGAGAAUACUCUAAUUGUUCAGAUACUGCACUGCUCCGAUGAACAACUUCUUUGGAAUAGAAGGCAAUCUGGACACAAAGGGACACUGGGGUACAUAUGUACAGAAAAAAGACCAUGUGAAGACACAGUGAGAAAGUGGUCAUUUGCAAGCAAAGAAGAGGUCUCAGAAGAAUGCAAACCUGCUGACACCUUGAUCUCAGAAUUCUAGCCUCCAGAAUGAUGAGGACAUUGAGGCGCAGAGAAAUUAAGUGACCUUCCUCAGAGUCACAUAUGACAGCUAAAUGGUUACAAAGUCCAUAGUAACUAUAGGAUCCCUGUGAUGUUGUGAAAUAUCUAUUUGGUCUUCAUCCCAGUCUCCUAGCGCACAACUCCUAAAAUCCCUGGACUCUUCAAAGUGGUAAGUGUCUUUCUGAACACUGAUGACUUGACUGUUGGCUGGAAGCCCUUAGGUAGCUUCAAGAUGGGAGCUGGUCACCCAAAAGACAAAGGUAGGAUCAGAGGGUUGGGACUUUCAGCCCAUUCCCCAGUCUCCAAGGAGAAAAGAGGUUGAGUUUAUUGGUUUCAUCAAUUGGGCCCAUGUAAUGUAGCCUCCAUAAAGCCUCCCAAAGACAGUGUUUGGGGAGCUUCGGGAUAGCUGAAGACGAGGUUCCUGGAGGGUGGUGCACCUGGGGAAGGGAUGGUAACUCCAUGCCCCUUCCCAUAUGCCUUGCAUCUCUUCGUCUGUAUCCUUUUGUUUAUAUCCGUCAUAAUAAGCCAGUAAGGGUAAGUUUCUCUGAGGUCUGUGAGCUGCUCUAAGAAAUUAAUUGAACCCAAAGAAGGGGUUGUGGGAACUCUUAUUUAUAGUCAGUCAGAAGCACAGGUAAACCAACCUGUGGGCUUGUGAAUUGCAUCAGAAGUGUGGUGUAGGAGCUUGUGAAUUGCAUCAGAAGUGUGGUGUAGUGGGUAGUCUUGGGGACUGAGCCCUCAACCCGUGGGAUCUGAU